UACAGAGGUGGCAAGCGUUGUUCGGAAUUACUGGGCGUAAAGGGCGCGUAGGCGGUUCGUUAAGUCCUGUGUGAAAUCCCUCGGCUCAACCGGGGAACUGCGUCUGAUACUGGGUGGCUUGAAUUCGGGAGAGGGAUGCGGAAUUCCAGGUGUAGCGGUGAAAUGCGUAGAUAUCUGGAGGAACACCGGUGGCGAAGGCGGCAUCCUGGACCGAGAUUGACGCUGAGGCGCGAAAGCCAGGGGAGCAAACGGG
This 253-nucleotide ribosomal RNA is filed under the name uncultured bacterium. RNAcentral describes it as "partial 16S ribosomal RNA". It matches the Rfam family "Bacterial small subunit ribosomal RNA", at positions 524 to 776 of the family's 1533-position model. The record is from RNAcentral.